This 460-nucleotide ribosomal RNA is filed under the name uncultured bacterium. RNAcentral's name for it is "partial 16S ribosomal RNA". It matches the Rfam family "Bacterial small subunit ribosomal RNA", at positions 338 to 795 of the family's 1533-position model. The record is from RNAcentral.
CCUACGGGAGGCAGCAGUGAGGAAUAUUGGUCAAUGGGCGGAAGCCUGAACCAGCCAAGUCGCGUGAGGGAUUAAGGCCCUGCGGGUCGUAAACCUCUUUUGCCGGGGAGCAGAGGUCCGGACGUGUCCGGGCCGGGAGAGUACCCGGAGAAAAAGCAUCGGCUAACUCCGUGCCAGCAGCCGCGGUAAUACGGAGGAUGCGAGCGUUAUCCGGAUUUAUUGGGUUUAAAGGGUGCGUAGGCGGGCAUUUAGGCCGGCGGUAAAAUGUCGGGGCUCAACCCCGGCCUGCCGUCGGAACUGGGUGCCUUGAGUGGGCGAGAGGUAUGCAGAAUGCGAGGUGUAGCGGUGAAAUGCGUAGAUAUCACGCAGAACCCCGAUUGCGAAGGCAGCAUACCGGCGCCCUACUGACGCUGAGGCGCGAAAGUGCGGGUAGCGAACAGGAUUAGAUACCCCAGUAGUC